Molecule: long non-coding RNA, 591 nt
Organism: Oreochromis aureus
Lineage: Eukaryota; Metazoa; Chordata; Actinopteri; Cichliformes; Cichlidae
Exons: 4
Source: RefSeq, a predicted model, not a curated record
GCUGACAUUGUGAUGUAGCCUCAGUUCUUUGAGAGACAAGACAAAACAGCAGGGAAUAAUUUUAUGUCUGCAAGCCGCUGGAUGAUCAGUUUGGAGGGCAAGAUAUUUUAUGAGCCUGAGCAGAUGCACGACUUUGGCAGCACCCUUGCUGUCUUCUUUGCGUCAUACUACGUUUUCAACCUUGAGUAUCAGGAGUCAGCGUCCAUCACACUGGAGAUGAUACAGAGGUUCUUUGUGAGGAUCCAGACAUGGGAACAAAAUGCCCUGCAAAACUUGGUACAAGCCGCAAGACAGGUCGUGUCGUAAAGAGGAAGGUUACAAGCAUCAGCCCUCGGAUCACCACCUUCCUCCAGCGGCUCUCUGGAGGACUUCCAACUAGGUGGUGAUGAAGACUACGCUGACUACCAUCCUGGUAACGGAAAUCUAAAUCCCAUGUCACUUUCUAUUUCCUGAGACCCACUGAUAAUUAUUACAUUUUGUAAAUGAUUUUUGUUUUACAAUUGUAAUAGUUUAUUUAAUGUUCAUGCUGGUGGGUUUGUCCUGUUUUUAGUGGAAUGAAAAACUGUUUUCCUUAAAAAAUCAGACACAGAA